Molecule: unclassified non-coding RNA, 394 nt
Filed under: Hevea brasiliensis (rubber tree)
Lineage: Eukaryota; Viridiplantae; Streptophyta; Magnoliopsida; Malpighiales; Euphorbiaceae
Source: RNAcentral
CCGGUAAACAUCCACUAUCUUCCAUUCCUCUAAACACCUUGUAUGCUUCAUCCAGCAAUUCCUCUUUGCAAAGUCCUUUAAAUAUUGUACCAUAUGUAUAAACAUCAGGCUGCAAGCCUUUUUCAAAAAGCCUAGAAAAAAAUUCCUUGGCAUCCUUAAGCUUCCCAGCUCUGCACAAACCAUUUAUCAAAAUGUUAUAGCACAUGUGACCAAGCUUCAACAGACUUUGUUCCAUCGCUUUAAAUAGCAUGAGUUCCUCACCAAUAUUCCCCUGUUUGCACAAGCCAUCAAGAAAAGUAGAGAAAGUUGUUAUAUCUGGCUGAUUACCAUGAGAAAACAUGUUCUUGAAAAGAAAGUGUGCAAUCCCGGGCUUCCCUGCAUUCCACAAGCCUUG